RNAcentral lists this transfer RNA (73 nucleotides) under Ailuropoda melanoleuca (giant panda). It matches the Rfam family "tRNA". Rfam says of the family: Transfer RNA (tRNA) molecules are approximately 80 nucleotides in length. Their secondary structure includes four short double-helical elements and three loops (D, anti-codon, and T loops). Further hydrogen bonds mediate the characteristic L-shaped molecular structure. tRNAs have two regions of fundamental functional importance: the anti-codon, which is responsible for specific mRNA codon recognition, and the 3' end, to which the tRNAs corresponding amino acid is attached (by aminoacyl-tRNA synthetases). tRNAs cope with the degeneracy of the genetic code in two manners: having more than one tRNA (with a specific anti-codon) for a particular amino acid; and 'wobble' base-pairing, i.e. permitting non-standard base-pairing at the 3rd anti-codon position. The record is from Rfam by way of RNAcentral. Lineage: Eukaryota; Metazoa; Chordata; Mammalia; Carnivora; Ursidae.
GCCUGUCUAGUUCAGUCAGUAGAACAUAUGACUUUUGCUCUCAGGGUCAUGAGUUCAAGCCCCACGUUGGGCA